ACUAGGGCGACCCCUGGUGGCGGGAGGUCCUCAGCCCUCACCGGCCUAUCCCGCAGGCCGCCUGUGAGACCUUCUGUGUGGGAGAGGAUGCCAAGGCCGCCGCCCGAGACAUCUUCAGCCCCAAACGGAGCUGGAAGCGCCAGAGGUACCGGCUGAGCGCCCAGGCCGAGGGCCUGCAGUUGCUGCCAGGUCUGAUCCACGUGCACAGGCGGAAGAUGUUCCAGGCUACAGUCCUCUCAGUGGAAAACCUGCAAAGCAGCAAGUCCACGAGGGCCACCAUCCUGGUGCGCCUGGACACCGGAGGCCAGGAGGGGCUGCAGUAUCAGCCGGGGGACCACAUAGGUGUCUGCCCACCCAACCGGCCCGGCCUUGUGGAGGCGCUGCUGAGCCGCGUGGAGGACCCGCCGGCGCCCACUGAGCCCGUGGCAGUAGAGCAGCUGG
RNAcentral lists this small RNA (441 nucleotides) under Pongo abelii (Sumatran orangutan). RNAcentral describes it as "processed transcript". Lineage: Eukaryota; Metazoa; Chordata; Mammalia; Primates; Hominidae. The record is from RNAcentral.